GUUUGGUUCAGCGAUUUGAAAACAGUAUAUUUGGAACCGCUUGGAUAUGAGAAUCUGCUUUUUAACCAUACAUUGAUGAAAUCUAAAUAGAGAACAAGCAUUUCCGAUGACAGCUGCUCUCUCAGAUUGAAAUGCACUGCAAAUGUAAAAUACACACCGGAUUUCAAAGUCUUUGCAAAAAAGAAUGUAACAUAUCACAUUCCUUUUUUUAUUGAUUGAUUACAUGUUGAGUAUUGAUUGGUUACAUGUUGAAAUGAUAUUUCGGGUAUAAUAAAGUGGGGUCAGGGAAA
Molecule: long non-coding RNA, 290 nt
Filed under: Homo sapiens (human)
Lineage: Eukaryota; Metazoa; Chordata; Mammalia; Primates; Hominidae
Description: LHRI_LNC632.1
Source: RNAcentral